GACGAACGCUGGCGGCGUGCUUAACACAUGCAAGUCGAACGGAAAGGCCAGUGCUUGCACUGGUACUCGAGUGGCGAACGGGUGAGUAUCACGCGUGUGUUCUGCCUUUCACUCUCUGAUAAGCUUGGGAAACUGGGUCUAUUACCGGAUAUGAACUGCCUUUAGUGUGGUGGCUGUAAUGUUUUUUCGGUUCAAGAUGAGGUCUCGGCCUAUCAGCUCGUUGGUGGGGUAAUGGCCUACCAAGGCGUCGACGGGUAGCCGGCCUGGGAGGGUGUACGGCCACAUUGGGACUGAGAUACGGCGCAGAAUGCUACGGGAGGCAGCGGUGGGAAAUAUUGCACAAUGGGCGGAAGCCUGAUGCAGCGACGCCGGGUGGGGGAUGACGGCUUUCGGGUUGUAAACUACUGUCGACGGGGCCGAAGCGGAAGUGACGGUACCUGUAUAAGAAGCACCGGCUAACUACGUG
Molecule: ribosomal RNA, 466 nt
Filed under: uncultured bacterium
Lineage: Bacteria
Description: partial 16S ribosomal RNA
Rfam family: Bacterial small subunit ribosomal RNA
Source: RNAcentral